GGGAGUUGGCUGACGUGCUGGAGCGCGAACAACACAUAGCACCAACAGUUCUCCUGGCGCCAAGGGAGUCUAUCAAUACGAACAGAAAGGCCACAUAUGGUGGUGAGCUUCGACAGCAUAGAGAAGCCAGGGCCAUCCCACCAGACAAGCAGAGGUCUAGCAAGGAAAAGAAAAUCCAGUACCUCCCUGGAGGCUCUUGUUGAAGAAUAUACGCCUGCAAAGCACGAGAGGGAAGUGCGCUUCGAGAAGGGAAGGGCAAUUCUGGAGCCCCUCGUUGGUGCCAUAGAGGCAUGUGCCGCCAUCAAAUCAGUUUUGAGCGUGAAUGAAUGUUUCUUUUCUAUUAAACUCCACAGGAAUGCUUCA
Molecule: long non-coding RNA, 363 nt
Organism: Dermacentor andersoni
Lineage: Eukaryota; Metazoa; Arthropoda; Arachnida; Ixodida; Ixodidae
Source: RefSeq, a predicted model, not a curated record